RNAcentral lists this transfer-messenger RNA (354 nucleotides) under bacterium. RNAcentral's name for it is "JAAYAB01 sp012719595 Standard tmRNA". It matches the Rfam family "transfer-messenger RNA". Rfam says of the family: Bacterial tmRNA, also known as 10Sa RNA or SsrA, is named for its dual tRNA and mRNA-like properties. RNAcentral also lists the same sequence under 1 other name. The record is from RNAcentral.
GGGGGCGCAAUGGUUUCGACGGGGAGAUGCGGACGUCUAGGUAGCGAGCCGAGAUCCCACCUACUCGUUAAUCGGUGGAACAAAGACAACUGCCGACGAUUACGCGUUGGCCGCUGCGUAAGCACGCAGCCAUCCGAACGUCCGUCGCCUGAGCGGGCGGCAACGGGUGUCACACUAAUCAGGCUGGUUGUCUGCCCCUCCUGCGGGCAGGCAGCGAGAUCUAAGCGGGAUAGUCCCAAGCAGACCCUGUGCCAGGGGGCCGCCCGGGGCGAAUUCUCAAAACUGGCACUACGCUCGUAGAAGCCUGGAUGGCUGCCUUUUCGGACGCGAGUUCGAUUCUCGCCGCCUCCACCA